UACGACGGGAGCUAGCGUUGUUCGGAAUCACUGGGCGUAAAGCGCACGUAGGCGGAUUUGUAAGUCAGGGGUGAAAUCCCGGGGCUCAACCUCGGAACUGCCUUUGAUACUGCGAGUCUUGAGCACGGAAGAGGUGAGUGGAAUUCCUAGUGUAGAGGUGAAAUUCGUAGAUAUUAGGAAGAACACCAGUGGCGAAGGCGGCUCACUGGUCCGCUGCUGACGCUGAGGUGCGAAAGCGUGGUGAGCAAACAGU
RNAcentral lists this ribosomal RNA (253 nucleotides) under uncultured bacterium. RNAcentral describes it as "partial 16S ribosomal RNA". It matches the Rfam family "Bacterial small subunit ribosomal RNA", at positions 524 to 776 of the family's 1533-position model. The record is from RNAcentral.